AAUAUUGGACAAUGGGCGAAAGCCUGAUCCAGCCAUGCCGCGUGUGUGAAGAAGGUCUUCGGAUUGUAAAGCACUUUAAGUUGGGAGGAAGAGUUGUAGGCUAAUACCUUGCAAUUUUGACGUUACCAACAGAAUAAGCACCGACUAACUCCGUGCCAGCAGCCGCGGUAAUACGAAGGGUGCAAGCGUUAAUCGGAAUUACUGGGCGUAAAGCGCGCGUAGGUGGUUCGUUAAGUUGGAAGUGAAAUCCCCGGGCUUAACCUGGGAACUGCUUUCAUAACUGCUGAGCUAGAGUACGGUAGAGGGUAGUGGAAUUUCCUGUGUAGCGGUGAAAUGCGUAGAUAUGUGGAGGAAUACCGAUGGCGAAGGCAGCCCCCUGGGAUAAUACUGACGCUCAGACACGAAAGCGUGGGGAGCAAACAGG
RNAcentral lists this ribosomal RNA (424 nucleotides) under uncultured bacterium. RNAcentral describes it as "partial 16S ribosomal RNA". It matches the Rfam family "Bacterial small subunit ribosomal RNA", at positions 360 to 776 of the family's 1533-position model. The record is from RNAcentral.